GGGACUGUAGUUCAGCGGGAGAAUACUUCGCUGGCAGCGAAGGGGUCAGGGGUUCGAAUCCCCUACGCUCCA
RNAcentral lists this transfer RNA (72 nucleotides) under Priestia flexa. Its description in RNAcentral is "Bacillus flexus tRNA_Ala_GGC". It matches the Rfam family "tRNA". Rfam says of the family: Transfer RNA (tRNA) molecules are approximately 80 nucleotides in length. RNAcentral also lists the same sequence under 1 other name. The record is from RNAcentral. Lineage: Bacteria; Bacillati; Bacillota; Bacilli; Caryophanales; Bacillaceae.